GACGAACGCUGGCGGCGUGCCUAAUACAUGCAAGUCGAGCGAACCACUUCGGUGGUGAGCGGCGAACGGGUGAGUAACACGUAGGUGAUCUGCCCAUCAGACGGGGACAACGAUUGGAAACGAUCGCUAAUACCGGAUAGGACGAAAGUUUAAAGGUGCUUCUGGCACCGCUGAUGGAUGAGCCUGCGGCGCAUUAGCUAGUUGGUAGGGUAAAGGCCUACCAAGGCGACGAUGCGUAGCCGACCUGAGAGGGUGAACGGCCACACUGGGACUGAGACACGGCCCAGACUCCUACGGGAGGCAGCAGUAGGGAAUCUUCGGCAAUGGGCGAAAGCCUGACCGAGCAACGCCGCGUGAAUGAUGAAGGCCUUCGGGUUGUAAAAUUCUGUUAUAAGAGAAGAACGACUUUAGUAGGAAAUGGCUAGAGUGUGACGGUACCUUAUGAGAAAGCCACGGCUAACUACGUGCCAGCAGCCGCGGUAA
This 483-nucleotide ribosomal RNA is filed under the name uncultured bacterium. RNAcentral's name for it is "partial 16S ribosomal RNA". It matches the Rfam family "Bacterial small subunit ribosomal RNA", at positions 28 to 523 of the family's 1533-position model. The record is from RNAcentral.